UAUUUGAGGACACCAAGAGGUGACCAUCAGCAAGCCCAGGAGAGAGGCCUCAGAAGAAACCAGACCUGCUGAUUCCUUGAUCUUGAACUUCUAGCCUCCGGAACUAUCCAACUUGAAUGCUUCCUGAUUAAAUAUAUACAGGAGUGAUUUCAGAGGAAUUUAAGUUUUGGAUCAUUCUUUUGAGAAAGAAAGAAAAGUACCCUUUUAAAAGAGGUGGCUCUUGAACAACACAGGUUUGAACUGCAUCAUUCCACUUAUACACAGACUUUCUUCUGCCACUGCCACUCCUGAGACAACAUGACCAAUCUCUCCCCUUCCUCCUCCUCAGCGUACUUUCAACAUAAAGACGACGAGGAUAAAGGCAUUUAUGAUGAACUACUUCCACAUAAUGAAUAAUUGAACAAAGGAGAGAAUUGUGAGAGUGAGAAAAAGUGAGACAAAGAAGAAAAACUAUAAAUCAGCAAAAUACAGUGCCAAGAGCUCUGGACCACAAAUCAGAAGACCUGAGCCCUAAUUCCUUUCCAGUCAUUGGAUUUGUUCGUCGCUUGCCAAAAUAGCAGCGAACUCUCUGUCAAACUGCAACUCAUUUUAUCGGAGCAAAAACUGAACAAAGAACUGCUAUCAUUUCUGAGGUGUGAUUUCUUAAGCAUUUUGUCUUGUGAUUGAUUUUUUAAAUAUAGUAAUUUUAAAGACACGGUUGAAAGAAGCAGCUGAUCGCUAAUAUCUGAUGGCUAAUAUGCUAAAUUUCCCUG
Molecule: long non-coding RNA, 752 nt
Filed under: Homo sapiens (human)
Lineage: Eukaryota; Metazoa; Chordata; Mammalia; Primates; Hominidae
Description: PPFIA2 antisense RNA 1
Source: RNAcentral